Molecule: ribosomal RNA, 2942 nt
Filed under: Pectobacterium brasiliense
Lineage: Bacteria; Pseudomonadati; Pseudomonadota; Gammaproteobacteria; Enterobacterales; Pectobacteriaceae
Description: 23S ribosomal RNA
Rfam family: Bacterial large subunit ribosomal RNA
Source: RNAcentral
GGGUUGUGAGGUUAAGCGACUAAGCGUACACGGUGGAUGCCUAGGCAGUCAGAGGCGAUGAAGGGCGUGCUAAUCUGCGAUAAGCGUCGGUAAGCUGAUAUGAAGCGUUAUACCCGACGAUACCCGAAUGGGGGAAACCCAGUGUGUUUCGACACACUAUCAUGACAUGAAUACAUAGUGUCAUGAGGCGAACCGGGGGAACUGAAACAUCUCAGUACCCCGAGGAAAAGAAAUCAACCGAGAUUCCCCCAGUAGCGGCGAGCGAACGGGGAGGAGCCCAGAACCUGAAUCAGUUUGUGUGUUAGUGGAAGCGUCUGGAAAGUCGCACAGUAAAGGGUGAUAGUCCCGUACACAAAAAUGCACAAGCUGUGAGUUCGAUGAGUAGGGCGGGACACGUGACAUCCUGUCUGAAUAUGGGGGGACCAUCCUCCAAGGCUAAAUACUCCUGACUGACCGAUAGUGAACCAGUACCGUGAGGGAAAGGCGAAAAGAACCCCGGCGAGGGGAGUGAAAUAGAACCUGAAACCGUGUACGUACAAGCAGUGGGAGCCUACUUGUUAGGUGACUGCGUACCUUUUGUAUAAUGGGUCAGCGACUUAUAUUCUGUAGCAAGGUUAACCGUAUAGGGGAGCCGCAGGGGAAACCGAGUCUUAACUGGGCGUUAAGUUGCAGGGUAUAGACCCGAAACCCGGUGAUUCUAGCCAUGGGCAGGUUGAAGGUUGGGUAACACUAACUGGAGGACCGAACCGACUAAUGUUGAAAAAUUAGCGGAUGACUUGUGGCUGGGGGGUGAAAGGCCAAUCAAACCGGGAGAUAGCUGGUUCUCCCCGAAAGCUAUUUAGGUAGCGCCUCGUGAACUCAUCUUCGGGGGGUAGAGCACUGUUUCGGCUAGGGGGUCAUCCCGACUUACCAACCCGAUGCAAACUACGAAUACCGAAGAAUGUUAUCACGGGAGACACACGGCGGGUGCUAACGUUCGUCGUGAAGAGGGAAACAACCCAGACCGCCAGCUAAGGUCCCAAAGUCAUGGUUAAGUGGGAAACGAUGUGGGAAGGCACAGACAGCCAGGAUGUUGGCUUAGAAGCAGCCAUCAUUUAAAGAAAGCGUAAUAGCUCACUGGUCGAGUCGGCCUGCGCGGAAGAUGUAACGGGGCUAAACCAUGCACCGAAGCUGCGGCAGCGACACUUAGGUGUUGUUGGGUAGGGGAGCGUUCUGUAAGCCUGCGAAGGUGGCCUGUGAGGGCUGCUGGAGGUAUCAGAAGUGCGAAUGCUGACAUAAGUAACGAUAAUGCGGGUGAAAAACCCGCACGCCGGAAGACCAAGGGUUCCUGUCCAACGUUAAUCGGGGCAGGGUGAGUCGACCCCUAAGGCGAGGCUGAAAAGCGUAGUCGAUGGGAAACAGGUUAAUAUUCCUGUACUCGGUGUUACUGCGAAGGGGGGACGGAGAAAGCUAGGUUAUCCGGGCGACGGUUGUCCCGGUUUAAGCGUGAAGGUGGAUGACUUUGGUAAAUCCGGGUCAUCGUUAACACUGAGGCGUGAUGACGAGUCACUACGGUGAUGAAGUAACCGAUGCUACGCUUCCAGGAAAAGCCUCUAAGCUCCAGGUAACAUCAAAUCGUACCCCCAAACCGACACAGGUGGUCAGGUAGAGAAUACUCAGGCGCUUGAGAGAACUCGGGUGAAGGAACUAGGCAAAAAUGGUGCCGUAACUUCGGGAGAAGGCACGCUGAUGGUAAGUGAAGUGACUUGCUCAUGGAGCUGAAAUCAGUCGAAGAUACCAGCUGGCUGCAACUGUUUAAUAAAAACACAGCACUGUGCAAACACGAAAGUGGACGUAUACGGUGUGACGCCUGCCCGGUGCCGGAAGGUUAAUUGAUGGGGUCAGCCGCAAGGCGAAGCUCUUGAUCGAAGCCCCGGUAAACGGCGGCCGUAACUAUAACGGUCCUAAGGUAGCGAAAUUCCUUGUCGGGUAAGUUCCGACCUGCACGAAUGGCGUAAUGAUGGCCAGGCUGUCUCCACCCGAGACUCAGUGAAAUUGAACUCGCUGUGAAGAUGCAGUGUACCCGCGGCAAGACGGAAAGACCCCGUGAACCUUUACUAUAGCUUGACACUGAACCUUGAGCCUUGAUGUGUAGGAUAGGUGGGAGGCUUUGAAGUGUGGACGCCAGUCUGCAUGGAGCCAACCUUGAAAUACCACCCUUUAAUGUUUGAUGUUCUAACGUGGACCCGUGAUCCGGGUUGCGGACAGUGUCUGGUGGGUAGUUUGACUGGGGCGGUCUCCUCCCAAAGCGUAACGGAGGAGCACGAAGGUUAGCUAAUCCUGGUCGGACAUCAGGAGGUUAGUGCAAAGGCAUAAGCUAGCUUGACUGCGAGAGUGACAGCUCGAGCAGGUGCGAAAGCAGGUCUUAGUGAUCCGGUGGUUCUGAAUGGAAGGGCCAUCGCUCAACGGAUAAAAGGUACUCCGGGGAUAACAGGCUGAUACCGCCCAAGAGUUCAUAUCGACGGCGGUGUUUGGCACCUCGAUGUCGGCUCAUCACAUCCUGGGGCUGAAGUAGGUCCCAAGGGUAUGGCUGUUCGCCAUUUAAAGUGGUACGCGAGCUGGGUUUAGAACGUCGUGAGACAGUUCGGUCCCCUAUCUGCCGUGGGCGUUGGAAGAUUGAGAGGGGUUGCUCCUAGUACGAGAGGACCGGAGUGAACGCACCACUGGUGUACGGGUUGUGAUGCCAAUUGCAUUGCCCGGUAGCUAAGUGCGGAAGAGAUAACCGCUGAAAGCAUCUAAGCGGGAAACUUGCCUCGAGAUGAGUCUUCCCUGGGCACUAGAUGCCCCUGAAGGGCCGUUGAAGACGACGACGUAGAUAGGCUGGGUGUGUAAGCGUAGCGAUACGUUGAGCUAACCAGUACUAAUGACCCGAGAGGCUUAACCUUACAACACCGAAGGUGUUU